RNAcentral lists this ribosomal RNA (483 nucleotides) under uncultured bacterium. Its description in RNAcentral is "partial 16S ribosomal RNA". It matches the Rfam family "Bacterial small subunit ribosomal RNA", at positions 30 to 506 of the family's 1533-position model. The record is from RNAcentral.
AUUGAACGCUGGCGGCAGGCCUAACACAUGCAAGUCGAGCGGAUGAAGGGAGCUUGCUCCUGGAUUCAGCGGCGGACGGGUGAGUAAUGCCUAGGAAUCUGCCUGGUAGUGGGGGAUAACGUCCGGAAACGGGCGCUAAUACCGCAUACGUCCUGAGGGAGAAAGUGGGGGAUCUUCGGACCUCACGCUAUCAGAUGAGCCUAGGUCGGAUUAGCUAGUUGGUGGGGUAAAGGCCUACCAAGGCGACGAUCCGUAACUGGUCUGAGAGGAUGAUCAGUCACACGGGAAAUGAGACACGGGCCAGACUCGUACGGGAGGCAGCAGUGGGGAAUAUUGGACAAUGGGCGAAAGCCUGUUCCAGCCAUGCCGCGAGUGUGAAGAAGGUCUUCGGAUUGUAAAGCACUUUAAGUUGGGAGGAAGGGCAGUAAGUUAAUACCUUGCUGUUUUGACGUUACCAACAGAAGAAGCACCGGCUAACUUCGU